This 19-nucleotide microRNA is filed under the name Capra hircus (goat). RNAcentral's name for it is "chi-miR-487a-5p". Its record names the gene chi-miR-487a-5p. The record is from miRBase by way of RNAcentral. Lineage: Eukaryota; Metazoa; Chordata; Mammalia; Artiodactyla; Bovidae.
AGCCUUUGGUACUUGAAGA